Eptesicus fuscus (big brown bat) is the source of this 106-nucleotide small nuclear RNA. NCBI's taxonomy places the organism in Eukaryota, Metazoa, Chordata, Mammalia, Chiroptera, Vespertilionidae. The record is from RefSeq and is a predicted model, not a curated record.
GUGCUCACUUCAGCGGCACAUACACUAAAAUUGGAACAAUACUGAGAAGAUUAGCAUGUCCCUGCGCAAGGAUGACACGCAAGUUUGUGAAGCAUUCCAUAUUUAA